RNAcentral lists this long non-coding RNA (199 nucleotides) under Elaeis guineensis (African oil palm). RNAcentral describes it as "long non-coding RNA (EGUI_LNC062069)". The record is from RNAcentral. Lineage: Eukaryota; Viridiplantae; Streptophyta; Magnoliopsida; Arecales; Arecaceae.
CCCCAUCUCAAUAAGGAUUGGGGUUCUUAUCAAGGACCCUAGCUCUCAAGGAAGCUCUCAACACGAGCCCGAGAUGAGACUUCCUCGGGGUGACGAAAGAUCAGACCUCUGAGCCCGAGCCCUGGUGGGGGGCACCAAACCCGAGUGGCCCCAGACAAAUCUGCGGCCAUGGACGAAAAGGAUGGAUCAAUACGAUGGC